GGUGUAGGCGGCUUGGCAAGUCGGGUGUGAAAUCCCUGGGCCCAACCCAGGAACUGCACUCGAAACUGCCUCGCUAGAGUCCCGGAGAGGAUGGCGGAAUUCCAGGUGUAGAGGUGAAAUUCGUAGAUAUCUGGAGGAACACCAGUGGCGAAGGCGGCCAUCUGGACGGUGACUGACGCUCAGACCCGAAAGCGUGGGGAGCGAACA
Molecule: ribosomal RNA, 207 nt
Filed under: uncultured bacterium
Lineage: Bacteria
Description: partial 16S ribosomal RNA
Rfam family: Bacterial small subunit ribosomal RNA
Source: RNAcentral